This 247-nucleotide unclassified non-coding RNA is filed under the name plant metagenome. RNAcentral describes it as "partial contains small subunit ribosomal RNA and internal transcribed spacer 1". The record is from RNAcentral.
AAUGUCGUAACAAGGUUUCCGUAGGUGAACCUGCGGAAUGGAUCAUUAAAAAUGUAAUUGGUUAUCAUAUCCUGUAUCAAUCUGCAAAACCCAUUCCGAGUACCUUGCCUGUUGCUUCCAUGGGGACCUGACUUUGGUCACUCUUGUGAUGCGAAUCCCAAGAGAGUCCCCGAUGGGGGGUUAAUCAUUAAAUUCAUGAAUCCAAUGUCUUCUGUCUGAAAUGUUAAAAAUCAAAGUGUUAAAAACC